GGAGUGGGACGCGGAGCGCGAUCGAAAAUUUGUUGUGCAUCAGUGUUUCUUUGGUUAUAAGUUGUUUUCUAGCGAAUAGUGUACCAACAUGUCGACGUCGGAUAACUUCUUAGUCAUCGAGCCUUCGCAGGAGUUGCGAUUCAAAGGCCCAUUUAAAGAUGAAGUGUCUAGCAGUAGCUUGACCCUUACCAAUACAUCAGACAAGAAGAUCACUUUCAAGAUCAAGACCACUGCACCAAAGAGAUAUUGUGUGCGACCAAACCAGGGUAUAGUGGAGCCAGGAGCCACAGUCAACAUUGCAGUAAUGCUUCAGCCAUUCGAUUACGAUCCGGCGGAGA
This is a long non-coding RNA of Pollicipes pollicipes, 338 nucleotides long. RefSeq lists it as uncharacterized. The transcript has 3 exons. The record is from RefSeq and is a predicted model, not a curated record. NCBI's taxonomy places the organism in Eukaryota, Metazoa, Arthropoda, Thecostraca, Pollicipedomorpha, Pollicipedidae.